This is a long non-coding RNA of Anthonomus grandis grandis, 4948 nucleotides long. RefSeq lists it as uncharacterized. NCBI's taxonomy places the organism in Eukaryota, Metazoa, Arthropoda, Insecta, Coleoptera, Curculionidae. The record is from RefSeq and is a predicted model, not a curated record. The transcript is spliced from 4 exons.
ACUUAAUACUUUUUCUAUGUAUUUCUAAUUCAAGAAAGAAUUUUAAUCUGAUACAAUUAGGGUUCUUAAAAAAGGAAACAAUGUAAUUUUUGAUGUACAAUGUUGCAAAAUAUAGAAUAAGAACUCUAUAGGGUAGGAGUAGCUAAAUCUAUAUAAAAACUAUAUAUUUGUGUUCGCAACAGGAAAGUCUCUGCAGAAACAUGGCACAAAAGGUUUGGUCCCUUAAACAGUGCUAACCUAACAAAGAUAAGAAAUGGUUUGUAGAACAUUUUGAAUGUGAGAACAAAAUUGACAGGAACAAUUGUGCCACUUAUUUUUAAUGGAAAACAACAUAGAUUGCCUUUUCCAAAAGAGUACAAAAGACCAGAGAAUCUAUUAGACCUAAUAUAUUGUGACCUCUCUGGUCCUCGGGAAGCCAAAUCUAUUAAAGGUUCAAGUUAUUUUUUUAAAUUUGGAUGAUGAUUGCUCAAAGUUUGGGUUUGUUUACUUUGUAGAGUCCAAGGAUCAAGUCCAAAAACUACUCUCAAGUGCCUAUAAUAAAUAGAUUUUCACUUACAGUUGAAAAUGUCAAUCAAAAAGUCUUUUCCUCGAGACAACACCUAUAAACGAGUCUGUAGCAAUACAAACACACAACAUAAAGUAAUAAUUUCGAGCAAGCGAAACAGAUCAGAGUUAAGUCUGGAAACUCAAGUAAACAAAAAAAGACACUUCAGUGAUGUCGUUAUUUAUUUCGUUAUUUAUUUAUUCAUCAACGUAUAUAACAUUUCAAGUACUUAUUAAUAAUUAACAGUAGUCUUAAGUAAAAACUAUAAUACUAAUAAACAAUACUGUGCUAAACAUAAUCCAAAGAGUGGGUGUAGGGCACUAUCCCAAGAUAGUUGCCCUAGCUGACGACUUUAUUUAAAGAUGUACUGAAAAAAUCAAGAUCUUUUGCAAAUCUAUUCACUGUAGAAGCUAUUCUAUUUAUAGGACUGUUUAGUAGAUAGGAUGUUCUGCAAAAGGGAAUGUGGAGAAGUGCCUGACCUUGUGUUGUGUAAGAAGAUACAUGCAAAGAGAAAAGGCACAGACAUUCCGGACUUCUAACAAUACCAUUCAGAACCUUAAACGCAAAGCAAACAUCAAAGAACUGCCUUCUACUUGAUAAGGAGUUUAUGCUCAGGUAGGACAUGGUCUUUGAACAGGUAAAUCCAGGCCUGACUUCAUAAGAGUAUAUCUGGCAAACCUGAUAAACUUGUGCUGGAUAUUUUCAAGCCUCUCAAUUUGAAUCAGAAAAUGAGGUGACCAAACAAUAUUGGAGAAUUCGAGAAGAGAUCUCACCAGGCAAAUAUAUAGUGUCUUCAAUGCUGACACAUUAGUAAAGUCUUUGCAAGAUCUUUUGAUAAAACCAAGCAGUUUAUUAGCUCUAUUUACAGUAUUUUCAUAUUUCAUAUGAAAUUUUUUUUCAUCUUCAUAUUUUUGAUAAACCAAAAUAAGAAGAUCACAAUAUAGAACUUAAGAAAGGGACCAUUCGAGAGAUGUUUGAUGAUAUAGACAUAAUAAACAACAUUACAGAUGAAUUAUCUCAAUCUAUACCACCACAUCCUCUUUUAGGAAAAUUAUUUUGUAUAAUAAAAAGAGUGUUUUACUUGCCUGGAGAAUGAGGAGCUUACCAAUGAUUUUGGAAAAUUAGUCAUAUGAGACAAAUAGAUAAUUAGAAGGGCUCUAAGCAUACCAUUCAUAUUGUAGUGUAUGGAAGUUUGGCGCCCAACUGUGGGGUUAAUUUAAUAAUAAGUUUAUAGACAGUGGUGCACAAACGUUUCAGAAAAGAAAAUUGGGUUGGGUUGUAUGAGCAACUGAAUUCUUUGAUAGCUCUUAUAAUUAUACCAAGGAACACCUGGAAAUACUAAGAAAUUUACUUAUACCUUUUAAGUUAUGUUUAGGAAUUAAUUUUUCGAUCGAUUUCCUGUGUACACUAUUUGUAGGUAUAUCCGAAACUAAAUUUACUACAGCUUCUUGCAAGGAUGUACCUUUACUAAAUCAAAAUUGUGUCUUUAGAAAAAGACUAUCACCAGCCAAGAUUCUAGGCAGUUUUUAAUUAACCUUUCAUAUAUGUUUUUAAUAUACCUCCUGUAAAAAAGCAUGAAGUAAUAAAAAGACAUUGAUCACCCCAAUGAUGUUUUAACAAUGUUUUAUUAAAUGUCAGGUUCUUCUUGACCUUAGUCCUUAAGUUCCUCAGUUUUUUGAGAGGCACUACUUUAAUAAUUGAAGACCUUGGGGCAAAAACCGGACAUGUCCACUUUUUGGGCGAAAACUACUUUUGCGCAUACCCACGUGCUCCAUGGGAAGGCGCAUUGAUUGGUGCAAGAAUCAAACAAGUCCAACGCAUUUUAACGAGGCAAUAUGCGAUUUGGACAUAGCCGACUGCAUGUUUUGGGGCAAAAAGCGGUCAAGUCCAGGACUUGUCUGAUUUUUGCUCCAAACAUUUACAUCAUUUAUGGAAGGGAUAUAGGACGUGACCGGCGCCAUACUGCUCUGCAUCGAUUAGCAUUUAACCCCUAUAAACUGUUUAUCUAUGAUCGAUUAGUCUAAUAGAUUUAUUUGACGAGUGCGUAUCGUUCGUGCGUGCGUCCAAAUUUGCAUAGUGCGCGUGGAAUUAAGUUUUUUAGUUUUAUUUUUGGAGUGUGUGACACUUAUUUUCUUGAGUGCGUAUUGUGGAUAUUAAAUAUGUCUUCAAGCAGUGCAUAAGAAGACGAUCCUUUUUUAUCAUCGGGGAGUGAAUAUUCACCGUCCGAGGAUUUGCCGAGCACAAGCCGUGGUUUCCGAAAACCAGUGUUGCCAGACAAUAAUAAGAAACGGCAACCUAAAGAUAUUAACAAACCUUACCCGCAGAAACUCCUCGUACCAGAUGUUUUAAAUGUUAAUAUUGGUGAACCGACAACGUGCAACAGAAGGUAGUGGUGAAAAUUCUAAUGUCAAAAAAAAAGGAAGAAAAAGUGACAAGAAACCAGAGAUUUGGGUGAGAAAUGUUCGAAAAAAAAAAUAGGGCUCAGGGGGCGGAAUACAAGUCGGCUAAAACGGGACGAUUAAUGCCAAAACGAAAAACAGGAAUAGAUUGUAAAUGUCGCCUAAAAUGCUUUGACCUUGUAAAGGAGCAGGAGAAAAAUAGGAUUUUAAAGGGUUUUAAUGCUGUCGCUGAAAAAGAAAAAUAGGAUAUUUACCUGGGAGGACUUAUUCAGAUUCGUCUUAACAGCAAAGACCAAAAAAAUAUGUAGAGAUGCGUUCUGUUCUUUUCAUGGCAUGACAAAAGCAUAGAGUACAUCGUAUAGCAACAGCUUUAAAAAAUAACAGACUUCUACCGCCGCCAGAUAUGACAUAGGAAAACACAAAAACAGAGCAAAUAAAAUUCCAGAUAAUAUUAUUUCUCUUAUUGAUAAACACAGAGCUUCCCAAAAAGAUCUUCACAUUACAGUAGAGAAAAAAAACGAGGGAAGGACCUAUUUAUCUCCGGAACUGAAUAUAAAAAAAAUGCAUAUGCUGUAUUUAGAAAAAAAUGAACCAGAGAUUUUUGAAAAAAUAAAGCGUGAUGAAAAAUGUGAUCCAAAAGUAUCUUACGAUUUUUAUUACCGUCAUUUUUGCUCAAACUACAAUAUGAGUUUUGGUACUCCACGGUCAGACAUGUGACAGAAUGGAAAAUUCAACAGCCGCCGAACAAGAUUCUGAGGCAAAAGCAGGUCUAAGAACCCAAAAAAUGAUUCAUAUUAGGAAAGCGGAUGCAUUUUACAAAUCCUUGAAGGAGAAAACAGAAGUUGCCAAAAAUGAUGAAACUGUAGAUGCUUUGUGUUUCGACUACCAACAGAAUUUGCCUCUACCACAUGUUCCAGCCGGAGACGUAUUUUAUAGAAGUCAGUUGUGGCAGUACAACUUUUGCAUUACGUCUGCAAAUUCAGGUAUAUCAACAUUUUAUAUGUAUGAUGAAGCAACAUCAAAAAAAGGUAGUAAUGAGGUGAUAAGUUUUCUGCAUCAUUUCAUAAGCACGUAUUUGUCUGACUCUGUUAUAACGAUAUACCUUUUUUCUGACAAUGCUUUUGCACAAAACAAAAAUCAUACGAUGACCAAAUAUUUGUUUACUGUGGUAAAUUCAAAUAUUAAAAACGUUGGUUUGAUUAUCCAUUAAUAUCCUGAGCCGGGUCACAGCUUUUUACCAUGUAACCGAUCCUUUGGGCUUAUAGAAAAAGAAAAGCGGAAAGCAGAGCGAGUGGAAAGUGGAAAGACUUGGUUCGUAAAACGUCUAAAAAGUUUAGGGUGGUUGAUGUUAAUCAGGACAUCAUUAAGGUAUACUUUCAAGCCCAUUUUUAAGCCUUUAUAUUCUUCUAUGGAAAAAACUUCUAAGUUUGCUAUAUCCACUUACUGAUUAAUUAAAUAUGAAAGAGGCAGUAACUUUAUUGAAUACAGUGAGUCAACGAUUCUACCCGUCUAUAAUAAAUUUUCUGCAAAAAAAUCGGAUAACGUUCUUUCAUUACCGAAUAAUAAACUGGCACAGUGUUAUCCUCUUAAAAUUAAUGAAAAAAAAGUAAAAGAUGUAAUGCUUUUAGUGCAGAAGUAUGUGCCAAAAGCUUAUCAGUGGUACUAUGACGAGAUAUUUGCCAAAGAAUCCGAAGGUAUUCAAGGUGAAGAUAAUGCCGAAAAUCUCGCGAAUUUAGAAGAACCCGCCUAUGAAUCAGACAGUUAAUUUAUAUGAUUAUUUUGUUUAUGUUUUCUUAACAUAUAUUUUUUUUGUUUAGUGGUUUUGAAUUUUUGUUUAUGUGUUCUUAAUAUAUAAAUAUGCUGUUUGCAUAUCAAUAUAUAAAUUUUGUUUUAUUUUAAAUAUAUAUUUUGUGAAUAUUAAACUUUUCUAUUAAAGCUACUUUAUUAUUUGUAUUAUUUUGGCUAAUUUGGGGCAACAUUCGGACAUGUCCAAAUUUUCAAAAUU